RNAcentral lists this long non-coding RNA (501 nucleotides) under Calidris pygmaea (Spoon-billed sandpiper). RNAcentral's name for it is "lncRNA (ENSCPGG00000010618.1)". The stretch from base 107 to 184 matches the Rfam family "mir-9/mir-79 microRNA precursor family". The record is from RNAcentral. Lineage: Eukaryota; Metazoa; Chordata; Aves; Charadriiformes; Scolopacidae.
UGUGGUUCCCGGUGGCAGCUCCCGGCCGCCCUGCCCCGGCCGUGCCCGCAAGCCUGAAGCGGAGGGACGGAGGGACGGACGGAUGGCCGGCAUCCCCGACGGAGGGAUGUUUCUGUCUUUGGUUAUCUAGCUGUAUGAGUGUUGUGGAGCCAUCAUAAAGCUAGAUAACCGAAAGUAGAAAUGACUUCCAGACCUGCUCGCCCAGGGGGACGCGGCCGCAAGCAGCACCGGGCGGUGCGGAGCCCACUCGACCCGACCCGACCCGGACCCGACCCGCCGCCCUCGGGGCUCCAGACAUGACUGCAAGUUCGCGGAAGUGGGAUGCCAUGGGAAGGGCUGGGACGUCUCCACCUGAGCAAGGAGAGAUCCCAGCGAGCGGAGAAGGGACUUCUCAAGCCUCUGAGUUCCUUCUUGCAGUUGGCUACCACCUGCCCCGACUUGCCAUCUGACGUCUCCAGGUUUCUCCAGGAGGGUCCCACCCUGCUUCGCCGGUGGCCCCGG